Molecule: ribosomal RNA, 486 nt
Filed under: uncultured bacterium
Lineage: Bacteria
Description: partial 16S ribosomal RNA
Rfam family: Bacterial small subunit ribosomal RNA
Source: RNAcentral
AUUGAACGCUGGCGGCAUGCCUUACACAUGCAAGUCGAACGGCAGCACGGGUGCUUGCACCUGGUGGCGAGUGGCGAACGGGUGAGUAAUACAUCGGAACAUGUCCUGUAGUGGGGGAUAGCCCGGCGAAAGCCGGAUUAAUACCGCAUACGAUCUACGGAUUAAAGCGGGGGACCUUCGGGCCUCGCGCUAUAGGGUUGGCCGAUGGCUGAUUAGCUAGUUGGUGGGGUAAAGGCCUACCAAGGCGACGAUCAGUAGCUGGUCUGAGAGGACGACCAGCCACACUGGGACUGAGACACGGCCCAGACUCCUACGGGAGGCAGCAGUGGGGAAUUUUGGACAAUGGGCGAAAGCCUGAUCCAGCAAUGCCGCGUGUGUGAAGAAGGCCUUCGGGUUGUAAAGCACUUUUGUCCGGAAAGAAAUCCUUGGCCCUAAUACGGUCGGGGGAUGACGGUACCGGAAGAAUAAGCACCGGCUAACUACGUG